This 519-nucleotide unclassified non-coding RNA is filed under the name uncultured Glomus. RNAcentral describes it as "SSU rRNA". It matches the Rfam family "Eukaryotic small subunit ribosomal RNA", at positions 569 to 1092 of the family's 1831-position model. Lineage: Eukaryota; Fungi; Glomeromycota; Glomeromycetes; Glomerales; Glomeraceae. The record is from RNAcentral.
AGCAGCCGCGGUAAUUCCAGCUCCAAUAGCGUAUAUUAAAGUUGUUGCAGUUAAAAAGCUCGUAGUUGAAUUUCGGGAUCAGUUGAUCGGUCGUGCCUCGGUACGUACUGGUCAAAUUGAUUCCUACCUUCUGACGAACCACGAUGUCAUUAAUUUGGUGUCGCGGGAAAUCAGGACUGUUACUUUGAAAAAAUUAGAGUGUUUAAAGCAGGCUCGCGCUUGAAUACAUUAGCAUGGAAUAAUGAAAUAGGACGUUUGAUUCUAUUUUGUUGGUUUCUAGGAUCGACGUAAUGAUUAAUAGGGAUAGUUGGGGGCAUUAGUAUUCAAUUGUCAGAGGUGAAAUUCUUGGAUUUAUUGAAGACUAACUACUGCGAAAGCAUUUGCCAAGGAUGUUUUCAUUAAUCAAGAACGAAAGUUAGGGGAUCGAAGACGAUCAGAUACCGUCGUAGUCUUAACCAUAAACUAUGCCGACUAGGGAUCGGAUGAUGUUAAUUUUAAUGACUCAUUCGGCGCCUUAAC